RNAcentral lists this ribosomal RNA (425 nucleotides) under uncultured bacterium. RNAcentral describes it as "partial 16S ribosomal RNA". It matches the Rfam family "Bacterial small subunit ribosomal RNA", at positions 354 to 796 of the family's 1533-position model. The record is from RNAcentral.
GUGGGGAAUAUUGCACAAUGGGGGAAACCCUGAUGCAGCGACGCCGCGUGAGUGAAGAAGUAUUUCGGUAUGUAAAGCUCUAUCAGCAGGGAAGAAGAUGACGGUACCUGAGUAAGAAGCCCCGGCUAACUACGUGCCAGCAGCCGCGGUAAUACGUAGGGGGCAAGCGUUAUCCGGAUUUACUGGGUGUAAAGGGAGCGUAGACGGAUAAGCAAGUCUGAAGUGAAAGCCCGCGGCUUAACUGCGGGACUGCUUUGGAAACUGUAUAGCUGGAGUGUCGGAGAGGUAAGCGGAAUUCCCAGUGUAGCGGUGAAAUGCGUAGAUAUUGGGAAGAACACCGGUGGCGAAGGCGGCUUACUGGACGAUAACUGACGUUGAGGCUCGAAGGCGUGGGGAGCAAACAGGAUUAGAAACCCCUGUAGUCC